AGCAGUACAAAAAGCCCUGUUUGAAUAUGAUGAUGCUUAAUAGACUUGGGACUAAACGGAGGGAAAAAAACAUAUGGGAUUGCUUCUACUUGGCUAGCCAUCUUCUCUACAUUCACUGUGACAUCAGUUUCCAGGCUCUCAAGGAAGCACUAGCAUUUCUCAUGUACUAUCAUCUGCCUCUGACCUAUUUGACACACUCCACUAAGAUUUUGCUGAGCUGAUUGACUUCAUAGAGGCAGAAGAAGCCCUGAAGGGGAAAACCUGUGACAGCUGCUAUGGAAACGAUGGGUGCCUUAUACUUCAUAAAGGUGGAGCAACCAUUUUUUGAAAAGGUUUAAUGCCUUCAUAGUUUACAGUUUCCUAGGGAGAAAACCCUUGGGGUAGUGAUGAGCCUCGUCUUUUGUCCUAUGACAUUCUAAUUAACAGUCACAUAACUAAUGGAGGGUUGAGAUGGGUCCUAGCCAUGAACGAUGUGUGCCUCCGGCAGGUUGGGGGGCGUGGUAGCUGUGCGGCGGCGACAGUGGGAGUGCGGGGGUGGUAAGCGGUGGAGCUUCUGCAAAUGCCGCCAGC
Molecule: long non-coding RNA, 570 nt
Organism: Gavialis gangeticus (Gharial)
Lineage: Eukaryota; Metazoa; Chordata; Crocodylia; Gavialidae
Exons: 3
Source: RefSeq, a predicted model, not a curated record